This 300-nucleotide ribosomal RNA is filed under the name uncultured bacterium. RNAcentral's name for it is "partial 16S ribosomal RNA". It matches the Rfam family "Bacterial small subunit ribosomal RNA", at positions 556 to 848 of the family's 1533-position model. The record is from RNAcentral.
ACUGGGGCUUAAAGGGUGCGCAGGGCGGCUUGGUAAGUCAGGUGUGAAAUYYCUCAGCUCAACUGAGAAACUGCGCUUGAAACUGCCAAGCUUGAAUUUCCUAAGRGUAUGCUGGAACUUCCAGGUGGUAGCGGUGAAAUGCGUUGAUAUUGGAAGGAACACCGKUGGCGAAAGCGGCUUACUGGGCCAAUACUGACGCUSAUGCACGAAAGCUAGGGUAGCGAACGGGAUUAGAUACCCUGGUAGUCCUMGCYGUAAACGAUGAGUACUWGUUGKARGGGGGUUCGACCUUUUCUGACG